Molecule: ribosomal RNA, 252 nt
Filed under: uncultured bacterium
Lineage: Bacteria
Description: partial 16S ribosomal RNA
Rfam family: Bacterial small subunit ribosomal RNA
Source: RNAcentral
UACGAGGGGGGCAAGCGUUGUUCGGAAUUAUUGGGCGUAAAGGGCGCGUAGGCGGUGCGGUAAGUCACCUGUGAAAACUCUGGGCUCAACUCAGAGCCUGCAGGCGAAACUGCCGUGCUUGAGUGUGGGAGAGGUGCGUGGAAUUCCCGGUGUAGCGGUGAAAUGCGUAGAUAUCGGGAGAACACCUGUGGCGAAAGCGGCGCACUGGACCACAACUGACGCUGAGGCGCGAAAGCUAGGGGAGCAAACAGG